Molecule: long non-coding RNA, 667 nt
Organism: Panicum virgatum (switchgrass)
Lineage: Eukaryota; Viridiplantae; Streptophyta; Magnoliopsida; Poales; Poaceae
Exons: 2
Source: RefSeq, a predicted model, not a curated record
AUGGCUAUCAGAAUUCUAUCCUUGACUUCAAGUGCAUCAGGUUGUGAAAGAAAUUGGAGUUGGCAUGAAGGGAUUCAUACUAAAAAAAGGAACAAGCUCACUUCUGAGAGGCUUGAGCAACUUGUGUUCGUUCAAUUCAAUGCUAUCCAUGCACAGAAGAAAGAAAAGGCUAAGAAGAACAAAAUGGUGGAUCCCCUUCUAGCUACUGAAGCAACAUGUGCUCAAGGAUGGAUUGUGGAAGGUGGAGAAGAGGAUGAAAACAGUUAUGUUGAUCCUGUUACGGGGCUAACAUGACAGCUAAUUGCAGAAACUUGUAGUGCUGAGGAAGUCACUAGACUUCGGAGAAGUGCAAGACUGAAUCAGCCAAGAGAGAUUGAAGAAGACAUAUACUCUGAACCUGAGGAUGAUCCUAUUAAUGAGGAAGAAAUUGAGUUUGAAUCUGACCAAGAAGAUGUGGUCACAGCAGGCUAUGAGGCAGAGAAGGGGGUUGGGACUAGUGACAAUUGAGCUGCUCCAAGUCAUAUGAUAUGAUCAGAGCCUUUUUUUAUUAUGUGUGUGAUUUGUGUAAUGCUGUCGGCUGUCCUAUUUGUGCCUUGUGACUUGUGAGUUGUGACUUGAGAACUAUGUUGUGUGUUGGUUGUUUGUGAAUCAUUUGUGAUUUGCCUAA